Molecule: RNA transcript, 1045 nt
Organism: Wasmannia auropunctata (little fire ant)
Lineage: Eukaryota; Metazoa; Arthropoda; Insecta; Hymenoptera; Formicidae
Exons: 2
Source: RefSeq, a predicted model, not a curated record
GAUCAGAUAACUUUCCCGUGCGGCGCUUCAUCACCGAGACAGAAGUCUUGAAGAAGACGUGAAGAGCCGUGUGUAUAGGGUCGACGGGAAGUUGAUGACGCGGAUCUACACGGAGCAGAUCUAUUAAAUGAGCUCGAGCGAAACGGACGGAGGGUGAGAAGCGGAAUAAGCUAACCCGAACAUAUGACAUCGUCGUCGUCGUCGUCGCCGUCGCCGUCGGUUGCCUCCCGAUAUCAAGGCAACGCGACGUCAACGCGAAAAAGCAGCUGACCGUAAAAAGACAAUAAGAAGUAUCAACGUAUUACCAAUAACAUCGGCGGAAAUCGAGAUACGAGAUAACUAAGAAAUAAGAAGAAAGCAUGUGCGAGAGAGGAAAAGAGACAAAAGACGCACGGAAGAGAACGAGGGAGCGGAUGCUGUAACGAGAGGCACGAGAAACGAGGCGAGCGAUGAGCGUGAGAAGAAGGAAGAUCAAUAAUCAACGGGCCAACGUAGAAAAUCAAUGCCGGGCGAAAUGCAUCCGGUGUAUCGGGAAAAUAGAAGCUACACGGAUCUCCAAAUGGAAACAAAUGGAGCUAAAUCGCACGAGUGCCGUGCCGAGCGAGUAGAGAGACUGCGGAUGUGUAUUCAGAUGCGGCAAUAUACGAGAGGGAAGAGAGAGAGAGAGAGAGAGAGAGAGAGAAAAGAGGCCGGAUGUUGGCCGUUACGUCUUGCUCGUCUAUUUUACUGAGCAAAUUUGCAUAUACAUGAUAACGAUGCCGUGACUUUUGCUCAUAUUUAACACGUCGACGAACAGCAAUGGCUAUAACCGUUAUAGCGAAGUUUAUUUUGCCAUGUAUCCGCCUGUACCAAACUAUGUUCCCCUGAUUUUGGCACCACGCUUAUGCUUCCCAUUUCUUCGCUGACUUUUUUGUCUACACCAAAAUUAAAAAUAAAUAAUAUUUGAUAUCUUUCUGAUUUUUUUAAUUUUAAUUUUUUGAUUUUAAUUUUUUUAAUUAAUAUUUAGUAAUAAAGUACUAUUUUAAAGUAAUGAAUGACGAUCUAC